CCUACGGGGGGCAGCAGUGAGGAAUAUUGGUCAAUGGACGAGAGUCUGAACCAGCCAAGUAGCGUGAAGGAUGACUGGCCUUUGGGUUGUAAACUUCUUUUAUAUGGGAAUAAAAUGUUCCACGUGUGUGAUUUUGUGUGUACCAUAUGAAUAAGCAUCGGCUAACUCCGUGCCAGCAGCCGCGGUAAUACGGAGGAUCCGAGCGGUAUCCGGAUUUAUUGGGUUUAAAGGGUGCGUAGGUGGUUUGUUAAGUCAGUUGUGAAAGUUUGCGGCUCAACCGUAAAAUUGCAGUUGAAACUGGUAGUCUUGAGUACAGGAGAGGUGGGCGGAAUUCGUGGUGUAGCGGUGAAAUGCUUAGAUAUCACGAAGAACUCCGAUUGCGAAGGCAGUUCACUGGACUGAAACUGACACUGAGGCUCGAAAGUGUGGGUAUCAAACAGGAUUAGAUACCCUUGUAGUC
This 460-nucleotide ribosomal RNA is filed under the name uncultured bacterium. RNAcentral describes it as "partial 16S ribosomal RNA". It matches the Rfam family "Bacterial small subunit ribosomal RNA", at positions 338 to 795 of the family's 1533-position model. The record is from RNAcentral.